UCCCUGGUGGCUCAGAGAUUAAAGCAUCUGCCUGCAAUGCAGGAGACCUAAGUUCGAUCCCUGGGUUGGGAA
This 72-nucleotide transfer RNA is filed under the name Capra hircus (goat). It matches the Rfam family "tRNA". From Rfam's summary of the family: Transfer RNA (tRNA) molecules are approximately 80 nucleotides in length. Their secondary structure includes four short double-helical elements and three loops (D, anti-codon, and T loops). Further hydrogen bonds mediate the characteristic L-shaped molecular structure. tRNAs have two regions of fundamental functional importance: the anti-codon, which is responsible for specific mRNA codon recognition, and the 3' end, to which the tRNAs corresponding amino acid is attached (by aminoacyl-tRNA synthetases). tRNAs cope with the degeneracy of the genetic code in two manners: having more than one tRNA (with a specific anti-codon) for a particular amino acid; and 'wobble' base-pairing, i.e. permitting non-standard base-pairing at the 3rd anti-codon position. The record is from Rfam by way of RNAcentral. RNAcentral also lists the same sequence under 1 other name. Lineage: Eukaryota; Metazoa; Chordata; Mammalia; Artiodactyla; Bovidae.